GUUUGAUAGAAUGAGAAUGUUAGAAUUUUCACAGUGCUUAAAGACUGGUAAUUAAACUAUAACUAGCAAGGUAAGAACAAAAUAACCACAUCUUAAGUACAGUUUGACUUUCAUGACUAAAGAUAAAAAUUACAGGGAGGUAGGAUUUUAUUUCACUAUAAAGAUGAACUUCCUAACGAAAUGAGAAACUGAUUACAUCUGCUUAUUUGGACAGUGAAUGGAACCACAUAUUCUGCCUGUUGGCAAACACCAAAUCUGUAUAGUUUAUUUUCUUCAAAGGGAAUCAUGAUUGCCAACAAUCACUCAGCACCAACAAUUUACUGAAUGUUUAUCUGCCUGCAUUCUUCUUGUGGCUGGAAAUGUAGCAGUGAACCAGACCGAGACCCUGAUCCGCUGGGUAUAUAGCUGGGGGAGUCAGACAUUCAUGAAAAUGACUUCUAGUGCCACAGAUAUUUCAAAAGAUGCAGUAAAGAGUUCUGUGGGUCUGAAUGAUAUGGUGUGCUAACCAAAUAUGUGAAGGUGGCGAAGGUCUCCUAGAAGAAUUGGUGCAAAACUUGAGUCUCAAAGGAUGAGCUGGGUGAGGAGUUGGGCACAGUAUUCUGGGCAGUGGGAACAUCAUGGACAGAAGCCUGAAUGCAGCGGAGAGACUGACUCACUUGUGGGCAUGAAGGAGAUCAGCAUGACUGGAUUGGAGCUCACUUCCUGGUGUUUUCACCUCAUUGCAUCCCUGGUUGGUUUCUGUUGCUUGCAAUGAAAGAACCCUUACAAAUGCAAUAAUGCAGAAGUAACAAUGAAGAUGACACUGAUUCACACAAGAUUUAAUUUGUUACAUGAGUAAAUAAACAAAGCAAAAUGAACAGAAUUUACUAUACUGCAUCCCUGCUGGGAGUAUGUUGAGCUAUCUGGCCUGGAAGGCCUUUGUGACCUGUUGAAAGAAUAUACAUGGAUUUACUUCAGGAGAAAAAUAAAGUGUUAUUUUAAAAAUGGAUCAUGUUCAUUGUAAUUAAGAAUAAAGGUUGUAAAAACUAUGGAUUGUGGCCGGGCUUG
RNAcentral lists this long non-coding RNA (1047 nucleotides) under Homo sapiens (human). RNAcentral's name for it is "HSALNT0308761". Lineage: Eukaryota; Metazoa; Chordata; Mammalia; Primates; Hominidae. The record is from RNAcentral.